Molecule: ribosomal RNA, 430 nt
Filed under: bacterium
Lineage: Bacteria
Description: partial 16S ribosomal RNA
Rfam family: Bacterial small subunit ribosomal RNA
Source: RNAcentral
UGGGGAAUAUUGGACAAUGGGCGAAAGCCUGAUCCAGCCAUGCCGCGUGUGUGAAGAAGGCCUUUUGGUUGUAAAGCACUUUAAGCGAGGAGGAGGCUACUUGGAUUAAUACUCUAGGAUAGUGGACGUUACUCGCAGAAUAAGCACCGGCUAACUCUGUGCCAGCAGCCGCGGUACUACAGAGGGUGCGAGGGUUAAUCGGAUUUACUGGGCGUAAAGCUUGCGUAGGCGGCUUUUUAAGUCGGAUGUGAAAUCCCUGAGCUUAACUUAGGAAUUGCAUUCGAUACUGGGAAGCUAGAGUAUGGGAGAGGAUGGUAGAAUUCCAGGUGUAGCGGUGAAAUGCGUAGAGAUCGGGAGGAAUACCGAUGGCGAAGGCAGCCAUCUGGCCUAAUACUGACGCUGAGGUACGAAAGCAUGGGGAGCAAACAGG